UACGGGGGGGGCAAGCGUUGUUCGGAAUUACUGGGCGUAAAGGGCGCGUAGGCGGCCUUCUAAGUCGGACGUGAAAUCCCUCGGCUUAACCGAGGAACUGCGUCCGAUACUGAAAGGCUUGAAUCCGGGAGAGGGAUGUGGAAUUCCAGGUGUAGUGGUGAAAUGCGUAGAGAUCCGGAGGAACACCAGUGGCGAAGGCGACACGCUGGGCCGUACCUGACACUGAUGCGCGACAGCAUGGGGAGCAAACAGG
Molecule: ribosomal RNA, 253 nt
Filed under: uncultured bacterium
Lineage: Bacteria
Description: partial 16S ribosomal RNA
Rfam family: Bacterial small subunit ribosomal RNA
Source: RNAcentral